UGUAGUUUAGUAGUAGAACACUUGCCUGCAAAGCAUGCUUGAGGCCCUGAGUUUGAUCCCCAGCA
This 65-nucleotide transfer RNA is filed under the name Ictidomys tridecemlineatus (thirteen-lined ground squirrel). RNAcentral's name for it is "Spermophilus tridecemlineatus (thirteen-lined ground squirrel) tRNA". It matches the Rfam family "tRNA", at positions 6 to 65 of the family's 71-position model. From Rfam's summary of the family: Transfer RNA (tRNA) molecules are approximately 80 nucleotides in length. The record is from Rfam by way of RNAcentral. Lineage: Eukaryota; Metazoa; Chordata; Mammalia; Rodentia; Sciuridae.